GGCUGGCAUUGUCAAAGAAGGAAAUUGCCAGAAAGAAAUGUAACCCUCUAAGUACAGUAACGUAAACCAGAAGAAUGUGAUUCUGAUGACACUCUUAUCCCAUCCUGUGAACAAACGUUCGGGAGAAGUGAAAGAACCCCAUGGGAUAAAAGGCCCCCUUCUCCAUCAUGAAAAUGUAUCAGUUAAGAAAGUGCCUGCAUCUGGAGUCCUCUGAGCCCCCCACAGAUACAAGUCGAGGGCCGACUUUCCUGUUUGUCCUUUUCUUCCCAUGGAAACAGAAUCCACAGUGGAGCAAAGAUGGUCCUGGAUGCCUUAAGAGGGAAACGUUGAACACCACAUAAAUAAAGGUUGACUUGGUGCAGAAGUGUACAGUGCCAUGUCCCUGCAUCUUCAUGGAGAAAUGUAUUCUUUCCACAUGAGAAGCAACACCGUCCAUGCAGCAAACUGUGACUCCGUCCCACACAGUGCAUAUAAAACUGCAGCCCGGAGCCUCAAGCUCACCUCCGAGAAGCAGGAGCAGAGGCAGUGCCACACGCGCGCGCCAUGGCCUUCCAGGAGAAGUACUGAAGCCUUUCAGCUGCCUUGACUCUGUGCCUUUCACACCAGGCCUCAUCCAGGACCCCAGAGAUAGGAUCGGGUGUAAGAGCAUUAGGUUGCAUGAAAAUAGGGCACCGCUUUUAGAUGGCGCUCCCCUGAGACGUUGGGAGAGGCGACAGGAAAUGGCGAACUUGGGGGCAGAAGGGAACUGGUGGAUUGAAGCUAGUUGGCCGGUCUGUGGCUUAAUGAUCUGCUGUGACAGACAAAGGGAGACUAGGGCAUGGUUAUAUAUUUUAAGCUAUCAGGUCAAAUGGAAAAAUCAGAAAAGGCAAGGAGUGAGCUUUUAACCAGUAUUUCUUGUCUGCCUGUGGAUGGGGGUGGACACAUCGGUCAGCAAAGUGGUAAAAAGAUAGGGCCUCUUCCUUCUCACAUCCAUGAAGGUCAGUUUCAGUGCUUUCUUGUGUUGGAAAGGGAAGAAUCUUGAAUUAAAUUACACGGCCUUAUAUUUUAGGACGAUCUCGAAUUCAA
Sus scrofa (pig) is the source of this 1065-nucleotide long non-coding RNA. RefSeq lists it as uncharacterized. The record is from RefSeq and is a predicted model, not a curated record. Lineage: Eukaryota; Metazoa; Chordata; Mammalia; Artiodactyla; Suidae.